This 499-nucleotide ribosomal RNA is filed under the name uncultured Glomeromycotina. Its description in RNAcentral is "partial small subunit ribosomal RNA". It matches the Rfam family "Eukaryotic small subunit ribosomal RNA", at positions 591 to 1092 of the family's 1831-position model. Lineage: Eukaryota; Fungi; Glomeromycota. The record is from RNAcentral.
CCAAUAGCGUAUAUUAAAGUUGUUGCAGUUAAAAAGCUCGUAGUUGAAUUGCGGGAUCAAGGGAUUGGUCAUGCCUCGGUAUGUACUGGUCUUAUUGGUUCUCACCUUCUAAGGAACCAUGAUGUCAUUUAUUGGAUGUUGUGGGGAAUUAGGACUGUUACCUUGAAAAAAUUAGAGUGUUUAAAGCAGGCUUACGCUUGACUACAUUAGCAUGGAAUAAUCAAAUAGGACAUCAGAUUCUAUUUUGUUGGUUUCUAGGAUCGAUGUAAUGAUUAAUAGGGAUAGUUGGGGGCAUUAGCAUUCAAUUGUCAGAGGUGAAAUUCUUGGAUUUAUUGAAGACUAACUACUGCGAAAGCAUUUGCCAAGGAUGUUUUCAUUAAUCAAGAACGAAAGUUAGGGGAUCGAAGACGAUCAGAUACCGUCGUAGUCUUAACCAUAAACUAUGCCGACUAGGGAUCGGAUGAUGUUUAUUUUUUAGUGACUCAUUCGGCACCUUACG